RNAcentral lists this ribosomal RNA (264 nucleotides) under uncultured bacterium. Its description in RNAcentral is "partial 16S ribosomal RNA". It matches the Rfam family "Bacterial small subunit ribosomal RNA", at positions 94 to 354 of the family's 1533-position model. The record is from RNAcentral.
CCGGACGCACGGGUGAGUAACACGUAUGGAACCUGCCCUAUGCAGGGGGAUAAGCGGAAGAAAUUCCGUCUAAUACCGCAUAACACCUUUAGGAGACAUCUUCUUGGGGUCAAAGGAGGCGACUCCGGCAUAGGAUGGCCAUGCGUCGCAUUAGCUAGUCGGCGGGGUAACGGCCCACCGAGGCGACGAUGCGUAGGGGUUCUGAGAGGAAGGUCCCCCACACUGGUACUGAGACACGGACCAGACUCCUACGGGAGGCAGCAG